Paramormyrops kingsleyae is the source of this 2054-nucleotide long non-coding RNA. RefSeq lists it as uncharacterized. The record is from RefSeq and is a predicted model, not a curated record. NCBI's taxonomy places the organism in Eukaryota, Metazoa, Chordata, Actinopteri, Osteoglossiformes, Mormyridae.
ACUUCAGCUGUGCAGGAUUGUACUGCGCUUGGGUUUGGUGACUGAAAAGUCGCGAUGACAAAAACCCCGGACCAAGGGGACAAACCACACAGACCCACCCCUAUCGACUGCGCUGCGUCGCUUCACUGACAACGAUUCGGGCGAAGCGAAGAAAGCAGAUCGAGGCGGAAAAGUACCAGGCACUACAUGCGAUUAAAAGGGUUCAUAAAAACACCACUUUAUUGCUUUUGUUAAAUGAAAAAAAAAAUAAAAAAUCACUGAGUAAAGUAAACUAAUAAGUCACCUGGUAGGAGCAGCUACUGCUGCACAUCAGGGCCACUAACUGAAACGGCCUCAGUCGGAAAAGAAUAAUCGCCAUGGCCAGUUUUGAAUCUGAAGAAGAGUCUGAGGUAACAGAGCCACCAUUUAAGCUGUAGAAAGCAAAUGAGGUCCUCGAGAUCAAGAAGCCACAACCUGCUACACAAGCAGCCCAUGUCUGUGGGGAGCCAAAGCUUCUCUUCUCAGCCUCUUAAGCUGGUUCUUUCAGGACCAUCUGCAAGUUUGCUCCAGUUAUUUCCAUCUCGCAAAGUAAGAUUUUCCGCAGGUCUGCCAGCGAUGUCUUCCUACAUUGUCAUCCUUGUGCUACUGCAUUGAUCUUACAGUGCUCAUCCUCCAACCUCAUCACCUCAGACACCACCAGAUCCUUCCUCUCUUUCCUGCUGGCCCUGGACCAGCCCCACUGAGCUUCUCCCUACCCAAGAGCUCUUCUGUCUGGAUUCCCAUGAUCUCUUUGUGCAGGAACCUGCUAAUCACCAAGUCGACUUCUGCCUGGGCUUUCCGCCUAUAGGGCCAAUGUGGAUCUGGAUGUUUGCAUUCCGCACUGCCUGGUCAGUGGACUCCCCCAGCUUCACCACUAGCCAGGUCUUCUUCUGCUAGGAGCCUGCGCUGAUGGAUACAGGUGGCAGCUACUUUCAGAUGAAUGAGUUGCCUUUCCCAUCCAUCUUUCUUACUGUGGAUGAGAGAAUUUCAGUUUUAGAUCCCCACAUUAUCCUGUCAGACAGUGUAGUUUGGUAGCACUACAUCUUGAGUUUUCCUGAAAGCAGGCUUUGGUUAAUUCUUGCCAGACCAUCAGAGUUUUUCAAGACAAAUUUAAUCCUGUGCCUGUCAGAGAUCUCGGCUGUACUGUUUCAAUUAAUCAUAUUGAAAUAUAAAGCUGUAUUUUUACAGCUGCACCUUCACUAUGUAUAUGAAUUUAUGUGAAAUCAAUUCCAUUUUAAUUUUACUUCCUUAUAUUCAAAGUCAAAUUGUGUUACUGCACUAUAUUUUCAGCUAAUUUUGUGAAUUGAACUUGAUUUUUAAGGUCAUUCUUAAGUCUCAAAUUCUGAAUGGUGCUCAACCCUCUUAUGUACUCGAAGUGCAUACAAGUGGUACAACAAAAAGCCCCUUUUGCGUUAAUUUAUAGUCUAAGUUAUAUUUUUAUUAUUUGGCCGUAACUAAAAUGAAUUCUCUAAUGUUCACACGCCAGGGGGUUCGGCCCCCAGUUGACUUUGACCCCUUUUUUCCUUAUUUGGAAGUUUUUGAGUCCCCCCCUCCAUUGUCUUCUGACAUUCAUUAUUUCUUUCCCUCUCCCUGUUUCCCUUGUUUCAGCCUUUUGAAUAUUAAUCAUUCUGAAACUGAAACUCUCAGCAUCUUAAGAUAAAGGAUAAAGGGAAGAUGCAAGGGAAUAGGUUUGCUUUCAGCAUUGGUGGGGGGCAAAUCAGCCCCCAACCCCCUGCCCCCCUAAACACACACAUACUCCUACAGUUUGAUAGGGACAUGUCCCUGCUGUCCACACCGAAAUCCCUGCUCUUAGAAAGAUAUUAAAGGUAUGGAAAACAGCACCAGACACUGAGCAAAGUGCUGCUUCAUGUGCUUCUGUGAGAGUAUUGAGAGAGACACACUGGCAACAGAAAAUAGACUGAUUGCUUUAUUUGACUCACAUUUUGAUUAUGCAUUGUACCAGAAUGUAUAAAAUCUUUCUGAAUAACCCCAUUAUUUUCGGCAAAGAAUAAUAAAAAUGUAACACAUGGUGAAAA